Molecule: ribosomal RNA, 486 nt
Filed under: uncultured bacterium
Lineage: Bacteria
Description: bacterial SSU rRNA
Rfam family: Bacterial small subunit ribosomal RNA
Source: RNAcentral
GACACGCUGGCGGCGUGGAUUAGGCAUGCAAGUCGAACGGUAGGAUACCUUCGGGUAUCUGAGAGUGGCGAACGGGUGAGUAACACGUAGGUGAUCUACCCUCAAGAUUGGGACAACCCAGGGAAACUUGGGCUAAUACCGGAUGAAAGCAGCAGUGAUGUUGUUUGAAAGGUGGCGUAAGCUGCCGUUUGGGGAUGAGCCUGCGCUCUAUUAGUUAGUUGGCGGGGUAAAGGCCCACCAAGGCGAUGAUAGAUAGGCGGCCUUAACGGGUGGUCGCCCACACUGGGAUUGAGAUACGGCCCAGACUCCUACGGGAGGCAGCAGUCGAGAAUAGUCUACAAUGGCCGAAAGGCUGAUAGUGCGACGCCGCGUGAACGAAGAAGCCCUUCGGGGUGUAAAGUUCUUUUAUAUGUGAGCAGUGCUUUCUAUGUGAACAGCAUGGGGAGAGAGAUAUUAGCAUAUGAAUAAGCAACGGCUAACUCCGUG